RNAcentral lists this long non-coding RNA (349 nucleotides) under Triticum aestivum (bread wheat). RNAcentral describes it as "long non-coding RNA (TAES_LNC028315)". Lineage: Eukaryota; Viridiplantae; Streptophyta; Magnoliopsida; Poales; Poaceae. The record is from RNAcentral.
UCAUCACAAACAAAGCAGUAACAAUAUUGCUGAGUUUUACCAGCCCUACAAUAAGCUCUAUAGACGUGUUCUGCCCAUGAAUCCCGGCAGGAUCUCCGGCAAUCUAAUGCUGAGCAUUCAGCGGCUGUAAAAGCAAUCACCUUCACGCAAUCAUCUGUAGACAAGAACAUGCAUCAUUGAGGUAAGUCCAAAUUGUGAAACAUUGCAAUGAAAUUCGUGCAGGUCUGCUGAAAAUAUAGACAUGUAGGAGAAAGGAGAUCAAUUUCGUACCAACAUGAAUGGGAUUGCCUAUGCAUAGUUGCACAAUCACCAUAAGGCAAAGGAGAAUGAUUUUUCCCUCCAUAAGAUA